Non-coding RNA from Pelobates cultripes (western spadefoot toad), 283 nucleotides. Lineage: Eukaryota; Metazoa; Chordata; Amphibia; Anura; Pelobatidae. The record is from the annotation of a GenBank genome assembly.
CCAACAUCUAAACAGGCAGGAGAAAACAGUUAGAACUACAUGCUUGUAUUUCUAACAGAGUGCUCCUUUAAGAAACCCACUACUGUCUGCAACUUAGCAAGUUAACUAUUGAUCAUGGCUUUGAGUUUUCUAAAGGGGGCUUUGAUCUCAUCAUUACCUUUAAAUAUAAGAUCAACAGAAGUACUAAUAACAUGUUUUCCAGGGUACCAGGUCUCGUUAAACACACAGAAAUGGGAUCUGAGAUGUGUAUUCCUGCAAGUAAGGUGAAAUCUUUAGAUCUCCU